GACGAACGCUGGCGGCGUGCUUAACACAUGCAAGUCGAACGGGCCUGUCUUCUUUUUUGGGGGUGGGUUGAGUGGCGAACGGGUGAGUAUCACGUGAGUAACCUGCCCUUCGGUCCUGGAUAACCGCUUGAAAGGGCGGCUAAUACGGGGUGGUCCGGUUGGUCCGCAUGGGCUGGUCGGGAUAGAUUCACUGUUUUUGGUGUUUCGGCGGGGGAUGGGCUCGCGGCCUAUCAGCUUGUUGGUGGGGUGAUGGCCUACCAAGGCGGUGACGGGUAGCCGGCCUGAGAGGGUGGGCGGCCAGACGUGGACUGAGAUACGGCCCAGACUCCGGCGGGAGGCAGCAGUGGGGGGUAUUGCACAAUGGGCGGAAGCCUGAUGCAGCGACGUCGCGUGAGGGAUGGAGGCCUUCGGGUUGUGAACCUCUGUUUCCGGUGGUGAAGGCCCUGUCCGUGUGGUGGGGUUGACGGUAGCCGGGGAUGAAGCGCCGGCUAACUACGUG
Molecule: ribosomal RNA, 499 nt
Filed under: uncultured bacterium
Lineage: Bacteria
Description: partial 16S ribosomal RNA
Rfam family: Bacterial small subunit ribosomal RNA
Source: RNAcentral